ACUGUCACAGCUUUUCUGGUUUACAGACAUCCAGGCUCCCUCACUGGAGGAUUUCCAAUGUCCAAGUCUGUGGUCUUGGAACUUCGGAGGACUCUGUGGCAUGUUCGUAAGUGUGCCAAUCUGGGAGAAGUUUCCAUUUGUUACGCAAGACUUUCACAAGUAUAAAAGGCUUGAAUACAGAUGUCUGGAUAUUAGUAUCAUACUGACUUAUCUGUAAUGCUAAACGCUCUGGCUAUAUCUUGGCAAGAUGCAUAUAAGCAUGGAAAAGGAUGUGACUCACUCAGAGAAAAGAAAAAAACAAAAUGAAAAAAUACUAAUGAAAAAUCUAUCACAACAUUUCUACCUACAAGUGCAGGAGUUGCACAAAAUUUCAGUAAGUAUAAAAUAUAUGGGAAUUCUGAAGAGACUGUAACAGAGUAAAGAGAAACACAUCGCAUGGGAAGAAGACCAGAAGAUCGUUCAUUCAAAGAAAAAUACUGAUCCUUUGGGUGUCUUUUAAUAUAUCAUUAAAGAGUAACUAAAAUGGAAUGAAUCAUCAUAUUUUUCUUAGGUUUUGAACAUGUUCCAUGCAGGAUGUUACUAAAAUAGGAAAAUGAGAAGCAAUUUAUUUUCAUAGAUUAAAAAUGGACUAGAAAUCAGAAAGUAAUACUAAUAAUAAAGGAUCAGUUUGGAUAACA
RNAcentral lists this long non-coding RNA (677 nucleotides) under Dromaius novaehollandiae (emu). Its description in RNAcentral is "lncRNA (ENSDNVG00000003412.1)". Lineage: Eukaryota; Metazoa; Chordata; Aves; Casuariiformes; Dromaiidae. The record is from RNAcentral.